CCCCAGUUGAGGCUGGAGUCAGAUGCUCGGCUGGAGUCCUGGCCGGUAAUAAACUCCGGUGUGGAUUUAAUAUCAGUCUCUGGAGAGACCAGGACUUCGGCAGUGUUUGGCCCCUCUGGACACCGUUCUCCGGAAGGAGAGGCCAUCCUGAUGGUAUUCCGGGGCUCCAGGUAGACCGGUCCCAGCCGGGCCCUAUUGCCAAUCAACCGACCCACAGGAGUUUAUCGGGAAAGCCUCUAAAGGUUACUUUCAACUUCUGAAGAUGAAUAGUUAUUUCUAGAAAUUACUGACAGUCCCUUGCCAUGUGACCUUCCUCAAUGUGGCCAGUUACUUCAUCAAGCUGCCAAGGAGCAUCUUUUGCCUUGAGAAAGUGGAAACACUUCACCUCUUAAGGAUGUUUACCCAAUUAUGUCAGGCCCGUCCUGUGUAUUAGCUCAAAAUCAUCUGUUUUGAAUCUUUAAUAACAUUUUCAAAAUCCCUUUAGUUUUGUCAUAUUCUGCUAGCUAGAAACAAACCAUGAUCAGCCCAUAUUCACAAAUAAGAAACUACGAAGAGUGUAAACACAAUGGGGAGGAAUUUCUGGAUUUACUAUAAGCUCCAUUGGACAGAAUCAGUUUGUAUUUGCUACAGGUUUUUCUGGGUUUUUUUUUUCCUAGUUUCAUUUUCUGUUUUGCUUGACCAAUGACUAUUAUAUGCAUUUAUGAGAUACAAUAUUAAGUUUUAAUAUGUGCAUAUAUUUGUGGAAUGAUCAAAAAUAUGGAAGGAAUGUAUUAGGUAGGAAAUAAAGAAAAUACUUGUAAACUA
Long non-coding RNA from Heterocephalus glaber (naked mole-rat), 804 nucleotides. RefSeq lists it as uncharacterized. Lineage: Eukaryota; Metazoa; Chordata; Mammalia; Rodentia; Bathyergidae. The record is from RefSeq and is a predicted model, not a curated record.